Molecule: ribosomal RNA, 448 nt
Filed under: uncultured bacterium
Lineage: Bacteria
Description: bacterial SSU rRNA
Rfam family: Bacterial small subunit ribosomal RNA
Source: RNAcentral
AACGAACGCUGGCGGCAGGCCUAACACAUGCAAGUCGAACGAACCUUUUAGGUGAGUGGCGCACGGGUGCGUAACACGUGGGAAUCUACAUCUCGGUAAGGAAUAACGUAGAGAAAUUUACGCUAAUACCUUAUAAUGACUCCGGUCCAAAGAUUUAUCGCCGAGGAAUGAGCCCGCGCUAGAUUAGGUUGUUGGUGAGGUAAAAGCUCACCAAGCCUACGAUCUAUAGCUGGUCUUAGAGGAUGAUCAGCCACACUGGUACUGAGACACGGACCAGACUCCUACGGGAGGCAGCAGUGAGGAAUAUUGCGCAAUGGGGGGCAACCCUGACGCAGCCAUGCCGCGUGAAUGAAGAAGGCCCUAGGGUUGUAAAAUUCUUUCAGAUGCGAAGAUAAUGACGGUAACAUCAGAAGAAGCUCCGGCUAAAUUCGUGCCAGCGCCGCGGUAA